This 331-nucleotide ribosomal RNA is filed under the name uncultured bacterium. Its description in RNAcentral is "bacterial SSU rRNA". It matches the Rfam family "Bacterial small subunit ribosomal RNA", at positions 568 to 897 of the family's 1533-position model. The record is from RNAcentral.
CGUGUAGGCGGUUGGUCAAGUCGGGUGUGAAAGCCCGAGGCUCAGCCUCGGAAGUGCAUCCGAAACUAGCCAGCUAGAGCGCGAUAGAGGAGGGUGGAAUUCCUGGUGUAGCGGUGAAAUGCGUAGAUAUCAGGAGGAACACCGGCGGCGAAGGCGGCCCUCUGGAUCGUUGCUGACGCUGAGACGCGAAAGCGUGGGGAGCAAACAGGAUUAGAUACCCUGGUAGUCCACGCCUUAAACGACGGGUACUAGGUGUUCGGGGUGUUGACCCCCUGAGUGCCGCAGUUAACGCAUUAAGUACCCCGCCUGGGGACUACGGCCGCAAGGUUAA